Cervus hanglu yarkandensis (Yarkand deer) is the source of this 84-nucleotide small nucleolar RNA. NCBI's taxonomy places the organism in Eukaryota, Metazoa, Chordata, Mammalia, Artiodactyla, Cervidae. The record is from Ensembl.
AUGUAUGGAUGUGAGAUUUUCACCAUAAAGAAGGCUGAGUGCCUGACGUGAAAUUAGCAUGUUGACAAGUCUAACACUGAAGAA